GUCCGGGUAGAGCAUAGUGGACAUGGCAUCUGCCCGGUAAGCGGAACACUGUGGGUUCGAUUCCCAUCCCUUGACA
This is a non-coding RNA of Cordylochernes scorpioides, 76 nucleotides long. Lineage: Eukaryota; Metazoa; Arthropoda; Arachnida; Pseudoscorpiones; Chernetidae. The record is from the annotation of a GenBank genome assembly.